This 268-nucleotide non-coding RNA is filed under the name Cebus imitator (Panamanian white-faced capuchin). The record is from RNAcentral. Lineage: Eukaryota; Metazoa; Chordata; Mammalia; Primates; Cebidae.
GCCAGCCAUGGUGGCACCCACCUGUAGUCUCAUCUACUUGAGAGACUGAGGUUGGAGGAUUGCUUGAGCCCAGUUCUGGGCUGUAAUGCCUAUGUAUGCCCAUCAGUGUUAACACUGGAACUAGGGCCUACCUAAGGUUGCCUAAGGAGAAAUGAACGCACCCAGAUGGGAAACAGCAAGUAAAAAGUCUCAUGCUGAUUUGUAGUGGGAUCGUGCCUGUGAAUAGCCACUGCACUCCAGCCUGAGCAACAUAGGGAGACCCAUCUCU